GGGCUGGUAGUUCAGUGGUAGAAUGUCUGCCUCGCACGCAGGAGGCCGGGGGUUCAAGUCCCCCCCAGUCCACCA
This 75-nucleotide transfer RNA is filed under the name Nitrososphaerota archaeon. Its description in RNAcentral is "Thaumarchaeota archaeon tRNA-Ala". It matches the Rfam family "tRNA". From Rfam's summary of the family: Transfer RNA (tRNA) molecules are approximately 80 nucleotides in length. Their secondary structure includes four short double-helical elements and three loops (D, anti-codon, and T loops). Further hydrogen bonds mediate the characteristic L-shaped molecular structure. tRNAs have two regions of fundamental functional importance: the anti-codon, which is responsible for specific mRNA codon recognition, and the 3' end, to which the tRNAs corresponding amino acid is attached (by aminoacyl-tRNA synthetases). tRNAs cope with the degeneracy of the genetic code in two manners: having more than one tRNA (with a specific anti-codon) for a particular amino acid; and 'wobble' base-pairing, i.e. permitting non-standard base-pairing at the 3rd anti-codon position. The record is from RNAcentral. Lineage: Archaea; Thermoproteati; Nitrososphaerota.